Camelina sativa (false flax) is the source of this 1267-nucleotide long non-coding RNA. RefSeq lists it as uncharacterized. Lineage: Eukaryota; Viridiplantae; Streptophyta; Magnoliopsida; Brassicales; Brassicaceae. The record is from RefSeq and is a predicted model, not a curated record.
UGGAUCUCAAGGAUACUUUCUUACAACACACACAUCAUACUUAUACUACUUCUACUAGUUGCACCUCCCACAUGCUCCCAUACUUUAAGACCAUCAUGACUCUUACACAUUAGACCACACUCCUAGUUACUAACUCUUACACAUCAUAGGCUUGCUUUCUUACACACAAGCCACACAACUACAACAACUCUCAACAAUCACUCUUACACACUUAGACUCUAACAACUAAACACAACAAAACACAAGUCCAUUAUACUUUAACUUAUUUGGGCCUUUCUUCAACUCUGCAGCCCAUUACAACAACACACAAGUCCAUGUUGACUUUGCUCUUCUCCUUCCUUGACUCCUCUCUUCACGUCGUCUCUUCUCCGACAACGUGAGCUUUGCUUCUUCUUCUUUGUUCUUCGACUCACUGAUUUCUUCUUUCUCUUUGUUGCAGAUUUAAUCAAGAACUCAGUUCUCAACAAUAAGAUCUGAGGUUCUGAGGAAGAAGGAGAAGAAGAAACUCGUGAAGCAAAUCAGUGCACUGUGUAUGGUAUACCCUAAUAACCGAACAAGACCGGAUAAUCGGAUCAUCUGACGGGUCAGAUCCGGUUUGGUGCGGGUAAUAGGAAUCGGUCCAAUGGAACCAAAAUAAAAAAGCACAUUCGAAACUGUAAACCGGUUUUAUUCUUCUAAAAUUAUGAUAUGCCCAACCAAUCCCAUUAUUGUUUCAUUAUUUGAUCCACUUGGGCACAAUAUAUUUUAUGCAUAGUUUGACCAACGGAAACAACUAGCAUUUUACAAGUUGAAAGUUUCAGAAUUUGGAGUUUUAUGAUAAAGAAGCGAUAACCAAAAGAGAACAAGACUUCCUACUAAACAUCAUGAUAGAUUAGAAGUAUAAGUAGCUACUAGUAAUCUUGCUAAAUCCAAGGAUCCAAAUCAAGUCAUCAUGAGUUCCUCCACAACCGAAGCUCCACCGAUUCAAACCAUGGAUUCCGAAGAAGAUGAUGCCAUUAAAACACAGGCAUCAGAAGUGUUGGCCUCAUGUUGUCCAAUCUGGGAUUGCGCGGGAUGUGAAGGAGGUUGCACUUGCCCAUCAGAAUGUGUUGUCGGAUGUUUGCAAGUUUUUGGUUCAUGCUAGCAUUUUAUUUAUGAUCUCAACUCAUGUGUUCUUCUCCAAUGUUCCCCGUUUGUUGUUUCCAUUGUCAAAUGUUUUUGUAAUACAUUAACAAUAACGUAUAUUGAUUAUUUAUAGGAAGAAAAGAGAUACCAACGAAUUCUAAUU